RNAcentral lists this ribosomal RNA (4193 nucleotides) under Sphaerospora sp. FM09 ex Ptychadena anchietae. Its description in RNAcentral is "partial 28S ribosomal RNA". It matches the Rfam family "Eukaryotic large subunit ribosomal RNA", at positions 23 to 2372 of the family's 3401-position model. Lineage: Eukaryota; Metazoa; Cnidaria; Myxozoa; Bivalvulida; Sphaerosporidae. The record is from RNAcentral.
ACCCGCUGAAYUUAAGCAUAUCAGUAAGCGGAGGAAAAGAAAACAACAGUGAUUCCCUCAGUAACUGCGAGUGAAGCGGGAAGAGCCCAACGUCGAAUCGCUUUGCCCGUAACAGGGYUGCGAUGUAUUCGCGAGCGAGCUGUGACGUAAGGAAGCAUUUCACCGAGGUUGGCCGUGCCAUCAAAGUUUGCCUGGAAAGGCGCGUCAAAGAGGGUGAGAACCCCGUGUGUGAUGGCAUGAGUGCUGUGAGAGGCCGGCCUCGCUUGUGCUAGACAACAAGUGUGGAAGUGUUUUCCAUGAGUCGGGUUGUUUGGGAUUGCAGCCCUAAGCGGGUGGUAAACUUCACCCAAGGCUAAAUACUGGAACGAGACCGAUAGCGAACAAGUACCGUGAGGGAAAGUUGAAAAGCACUCCGAAAGGAGAGUCAAAAGCACGUGAAACCGUUAAAAGGGAAGCGGAUGAAUGGGYCGACAAACCCCACGCGGUUCAGCAUCAUGUGAGUUUGGAGGUGUCAUUGAACGAUGAGUAGUCUCCAAUCACACCCUCGCAUGUGAUGUGUAUGCCGGUGUGACGGGUGAGCCGAAACAGUCGUUGCAAGUACGGCCGAGGCAGGCUGGACGUCUGGUGGUGAUUGCCCAUUGCUUAAUCUAGCAAUAGGUGUUAGCAGUGGUUUACAGUCACAGCCGGACGCUACCUGUGUGUAUGCGUGUGUGAAAACCAUUAUAAUGUACAAUCUCGGCGAGUAUGCAAUUGAAAGAAGCGUUUGUGAUGACUGAGAAUAUGCGUCGUUGAGACGAUGCUGCGCGCUCCCGUUAGCACUCAUGUGAGAGCGAAUGGAGCGACGGGCCGCAAGAUAGUAGGUGUAUCCCGUGUGUGAGACUGGCGAUGCCUCUAUCGCUCGGGGUGCUGUGUGGUGUGUGUUGGACCGCAAGGGCUGAUGCGCAUCGCACGGUGCUGCGAUAGUUGGUAGGACCUCGGAUAAAAGUUCCAUCUACCGUGGGAAUGCAGGCAACUGCAGUCCACGCGUUAGCCAGUGUUCACAUGUGUGUCAAAUCGGUGUGCGUGUAAAAGCGCUAUCCACACACACGCAUUCCAUGGUUCACCAUUACACAAACGAUACCACUAGGUGUCGGAUGGUGGAUCGGGUCCUGGAUACAACUUGUGCCCUUAGCGCGUAAGCGUGAAAAGCACAGCAGAUUUUCGGCGAGACACCAAUUCAUCCGACCCGUCUUGAAACACGGACCAAGGAGCCUAGCAUAUGCGCGAGUCAAAGGGUGAUAAAACCCAGAGUGCUGGUCAUAGUAAAUACUGCCCCCGUCAUCUAGACAGGUGUGUCUGGGUGGUGGGGCGUUAUUUGACGUAGAAGCAAAAUGAGGCGCAAUGAAAGUGUUUUUUCGCUCCUCUAUUUUCAUAUAAGAGGAGCGUGUGAUGGGAUCUGGGUGCUUGCGAAAUAAAGAGGACGCUAAGAGGCUUCACGGCUUUGCCAACGUCCUAGCAGUUCCCGGCGCACCAUCAGCCGGUCUGUACGUGGGUAUGGACUGAGCGUGAGCGCAUAUGCUAGAACCCGAAAGAUGGUGAACUAUUCCUGGGUAGGGCGAAGCCGGAGGAAACUCCGGUGGAGGCUCGCAGCGAUCCUGACGUGCAAAUCGGUCGUCAAACCUGGGUAUAGGGGCGAAAGACUAAUCGAACCAUCUAGUAGCUGGUUCCUUCCGAAAUAUCCCUCAGGAUCGCUGAGACUUGUAUGGCGCACACGCGCCUCUAUGGUAGUUUCAUCGGGUAGAGCUAAUGAUUAGAGUUAUUUGGGAGCAACUGUUCCUAAAACUAUUCUCAAACUGCCAACCGGUGAGUGGGUGUCGAUUUCUUUGAACCACUGCUCCGUCAGGGUUUCCCUGAUGGUGUAGUGGCGACGGAGAGAACUUGUGACAUUGUGGUGUGGUGUGAGGUGUGAGAGAGUGAUCCUCACGGUAGAUGCGCUACAUCAUGGUGUUAUGAUUUCUUUCCGUUUGAGUUGAAUCGACACAGAAUCGCACUUCUCUUUGUGCGAGUGCCUUAUUGGGGCACGUCCGAUUGUGCAUCUGCAACGGUAGGGCAGUAAAAUGUCCGACCCGAGGGUGUACAGGAUCAAGCGAAUACCAGAGUCUCAAGUGGGCCGUUUCUGGUAAGCAGAACUGGCGAUGCGGGAUGAACCGAGAGCUGGGUUAAGGUGCCUAAGUGGACGCCCAUGGACACCAUCAAGGGUGUCGAUCAGUCAAGAUAGCAGGGCGGUGGCCAUGGAAGUCGGCAUCCGCUAAGGAGUGUGUAACAACUCACCUGCCGAAUCGAUCGGCCCCGAAAAUGGAUGGCGCUUAAGCGUUCCACCGAUACCCGGCCGUCGAUGUACGAAAUGAUAGUGAUAUCGACGGGUAGGAAGGCGCGACGGUUUUUGUGUUGUGGCCCUCUGUUUGGGGGUGUGGAGUUGGCAGCAGUGGUGGGGCAACCUGCUGCUGCUGCUGCUCCACAUCUCUGGGCAGGGUGCAUUGCCAUGGCAGUAUGUGUGUGCUGAGAAGGAUGUGAGACGUGAGUCUGUCCGGAGCAGCCGUCGGUGCAGAUCUUGGUGGUAGUAGCAACUAUUCGAAUGAGAACUUUGAAGGCCGAGGUGGAGACGGGUUCCACGUGAACAGCAUUUGAACGUGGGUCAGUCGGUCCUAAGCAGUCGCCUAACGGCAUGUUUCAGGCAAAGGGAAGAGGGCAUUCGCAAGCUCACUUCCAAGGCUGCGAAAGGGAAUCAGGUGAAUAUUCCUGGACCAAGUGGCGUGUGUUUGGUGAUGGUGUGCGUGUGGUGGGUUAACGCUCAUCGCACGUAUCCUCAUUGGGCACUUAAUCGGAAAUGGCCGUGGGGACAGUCAUCAGCUGUGGGCUUAACCGUUCACGGUGGGUGGCUGUUUGUGCGGUUUCAGUGGGUGCGCCUUCUGGGUGGCGUGAAACUGCGGGGAGGUCGAUCGUGGAUUCGUUCUGCGGGGGGACACCUGUAGAGCGUCAUUGAGGGGGAUAGCAUGCCCAUUGGCUGUGCAUUCGCUCCAGAGGCCAAGGCGGUAACGCAAACAAACUCGGAGACAUCCUUCAUGGUCCUGGAAAGAGUUAUCUUUUCUUGUUAACAGGUCAAGUGAUACGCCCCGGAAAAGAGUCAGUCUGAGAGGGGGCUGUGGGCCUGGAAGAGCAUCGCAGUUUCGGCGGUGUCCGGUGUACCAUGGUGUUAAGGGUCCUUGAAAAUCCGAGGGCGCGUAGCUCGAUGGGCCUGCCCGUAAAAAGGUCGGUCCGUUGGGAUGUAGAAUUUCGCACUUGUCCGUACCUAAUCCGCAUCAGGUCUCCAAGGUUAACAGCCUCUGGCGUUGAAACAAUGUAGGUAAGGGAAGUCGGCAAAAUCGAUCCGUAACUUCGGGACAAGGAUUGGCUCUAAGGGUUGAGUCACCCGGGCCACUGGCAGAGGAGGCGCAUCGCUUCCAGUUCGGUGUGUUGCACAUGGGUGUUUCGGCAUUCUGUGUCGGCACACUGUCUGGGAUGUUGGUGUGGUUCCCUGCGUGGUUGGACGGCGUGCCAGCCAGUGUUUCAUUGGUGUGGCUGGCGUAAGCGGUGUUCCUCCAUGCACUUCGGUGUAUGUGAACGCUUGCUGCGCCAGAUCCCUGGUGAGGCUUGCUGGUGUGGGCGCGUCGGCCCCUGGUGUUAUAGUGCAUGUGAUAAAUGUGCGUCUGUGCGCUAACUGGUCUCAUAGCCAGUGAGUGCUGCAUGUGGGCCGGUAAGUGUCGCCAGUGUUGGUAUGAUUCGACGCUGGGACAAGUGUUGCUGGUAGUGUGCCAAAAGCCGCUCCAGCCACUCCCAGCAGGUAGUUGUAUCAGCUGGCGAAGUGCUGCCGGUUGGAUGUAGUGUUCGGCGGGUGGCAGAUUGAACAACCAACUUAGAACUGUCACUGACUCGGGGAAUCCGACUGUUUAAUUAAAACAAAGCAUUGCGAAGGCUGGAAACGGUGUUGAUGCAAUGUGAUUUCUGCCCAGUGCUCUGAAUGUCAAAGUGCGGAAACGCAACCAAGCUCGGGUAAACGGCAGGAGUAACUAUGACUCUGUGAAGGUAGCCAAAUGCCUCGUCAUCUAAUUAGUGACGCGCAUGAAUGGAUCAACGAGAUUCCCACUGUCCCUACCUACCAUCAGCGAAACCACAGU